AAGACCUACGGGAGGCAGCAGUGAGGAAUAUUGGUCAAUGGGCGCGAGCCUGAACCAGCCAAGUCGCGUGAGGGAUGACGGCCCUACGGGUUGUAAACCUCUUUUGUCGGGGAGCAAAUUCCGCCACGUGUGGCGGAGUCGAGAGUACCCGAAGAAAAAGCAUCGGCUAACUCCGUGCCAGCAGCCGCGGUAAUACGGAGGAUGCGAGCGUUAUCCGGAUUUAUUGGGUUUAAAGGGUGCGCAGGCGGCGAGUUAAGUCAGCGGUAAAAUUUCGGGGCUCAACCCCGACAAGCCGUUGAAACUGG
This 305-nucleotide ribosomal RNA is filed under the name uncultured bacterium. Its description in RNAcentral is "bacterial SSU rRNA". It matches the Rfam family "Bacterial small subunit ribosomal RNA", at positions 334 to 636 of the family's 1533-position model. The record is from RNAcentral.